CGAGCAGGCAGACAGUCAGAGGGGCAGCACUCGGAGAGGAGAGAGGUCAUCUCUCAGGGUCUGGAGUGUAAGCUGGGCCAGGCUUAGAAGCAAGGCCCCUCCGUCCUGAAGGGGAGCCCACCAUGGUGUGCAUAUUCCAUGCUGCCAUCGCUCCGUCUGGGGUUGGACCUGUGAGAACCACGACGAGUGAAUGAACAGACUUAGUGAGAAUCCAGGCUUGUGCCAACGAAUCAGCAUUCACUAAACAACCGCGUAUCCCAGAUGCUUCCCUUUUUUGUCUGUCUGCUUUUUUCACUGUGAAAUAUGCACUUCGUUGUCUCUAAGACUUUUUUUCCGAUACGUCUUUGUGGAGGUAUAACUGACAUUCACUGACCUGCACACAUUCAGAGUGCACAAUUUGACGAGUUUGACCUAUAAACACCCAUGAAACCAUGAGCACCAAAAUGUCCCCGUGCCUCUCCAUCACCGGUCCCUCUCGUUCCUCCCCACCCCUCCAUUUCCAGGCGGCCACUGGACUUCUUUCUGCCACUAUACAUUAGUUUGCAUUUUCCAGAAUUUCAGACAAAUGGAAUCGUGCAGCAUGUGCUCUUCUCUGGCGCCGGCCAGGUGAUGUCUGACUUUUUAAGGAAUCGCCAAGCCGUUUUCCAAAGUGGCGGCACCAUUUUCGUUUCCCGCCUGCGGUGUGGGAGGCUUCCAGGGGCUCCACGUCUCCGUCAGCCCUCGAGGUGCAUCAGUCUUGUCCAUCUCGUCGCCCCCGCAACGGGCAUGAGGUGCACCGGCCGCAUUUCCCCGGUGACCCGGGGGUCGGGGAAGAUGCUCCGCCGUCACUGUCCGGCUUGACCCCGCGGCUGGCCUGGGGACUGGGCGGGCUGACCCCGUCAGGCACGGAGGCAGCUCCGGCUCAGCGCCCGUGGUCGCCAGCGGCUGCGCGGCAGAGCCCCCUUCGUCCCUCCCGCUCAGCUCCUGCCUCCUGCGCCGGCGCGUCCUCCGUGACCCCGUGAACUCUGAGCCGCGGCUGGGCCUCCAGUCAGGGCCGGAGCACGCGAGCUUCUGGAAGGGAUCCGUCUGCGGGGACGAGUCAGCCAGGCCCCCCGCGGCUCCGUCUGCAGGAGCAACACACACGUCAGCACUUAGCACCGAGCCCGGCCGGUUGCCUCCCUCCGCGGAGAAGGGCUUCCUCGCCGCUGCGUUUCCGCACACUCCGCCUCCGGGCUCGCGAGCCAGGCCUCCUGGAGCUCAGGCCGCUGGGACGUCUCCGGAGGCCGCGGGUCCGCAGGCGCGCGCGGCCCAGGUGUCCUCGGGGUGUAGACAGGCCUCCUCAGCCGGCGGGCCACCUCAGACCCGGCUGGUGGCGGAGGAGGAACCGCGGUCAGCUGGGCCAAAGGCCCCUGAAGGUCUGAGGGAGAUGCAGACAGUGGGUCGGGGAGGUGGGAGGAGAAAGCGCACGGCGCCUCUCCCCAGCCAGCGGCCUCCUACCUGCGGAAAGGGCUCAAGACGAAAGGCGAGAGGUGCCCAUUUUAAAUCAAAUUCAGGCCUGGACCUUUGAAAUUCCUGGACUGAGCCCAUUUUAUCAACUAAGAGCCACCAGAAAGGCCACAGGACUGGAGUGUUCAGAGGGGACAGAGGGAGGAGACGCUGCCUGGUGGUUUCGUCCCACGAGUCCAGCUCAUGCGGCGUGUUGGUCUGCUUUGGUCUGAAGGAACGAGGCCAAUCGAAGAGCUCCUGACAGGUGUGCCUUGGUCUCUUACCUGUGCGACUAGCCUGGCUGGCCUCCCAGAACCCACAGCACGGAGGAGGGAGGCUGAGGCGUCCAGGCACUGGAGAUGAUGAGGAGACCGGGGCUCAGCAGGUGGAAAACAUCAAACCCAGGCCAGAGGUCUGGUCCAUUUAGCUCCAAAGCCUGUGCUUUCCACAGUACGAGCUGCCCUUCCACAUCCCAUCGCGGACAGGCGGUACGGUUAACUGGACUAACUACAGCUCCUGUGAAGACAGAUCUUACUGCACUUGGCUCUUCAGGGGGGCAAAACGGUGUGGCCUGUUCCAUAUGUCUGCCCACCAGGAACAGCGAGGCCACAGCUUACAGCCUCCCGCUUUCCUGGACAGUGUGUUUCUUCCCACUGUUCUCGGCGAGGAGUGGCCCCAGCCCUGUUGGCUCCUGUCAUCCCUGGCUGGUCCCCUGUGAUCAAGCCGGGAAAGGCAGGUGGUCGGAACAGCAGCGUGUGUGUGUUGAGCUUGUGACUGUAACUCUGGGUGCGUGUGUCUGUCUGUCUGUGUGUAGUUAAACCUGAUGGGGAGGGGGUGAAAUUAAAAUGUGUAUGUGUAUUUAUGUGGCUAAGUGCCAGCUUGUCUGUGUGUGUGUGUGUGUGUGUGUGUGUGAGAGAGAGAGAGAGCAAGAGAGAGAGAAACCUAAAUUUGUGUGCAUGUUUCUGUCUUUCUGUCCUUCUGUGUGGCAGUACGGCUGAAUUUCAGCUCAGACCCCUGUCGCUGGAGCAGCAGCUCCUUCGAGCCAGCGUGAGAAGGUUGGCAGCCCUACCAGGCUCCUCAUAGGAAUCCUCCAGGAUUAGCUGUCAAUCUCCACUGCUCUCCUCCCAGAUGGGUCCGGACAGGUCUGGAUGAACCAGAUGAUAAAUUCUGAAUCUCCUGUGCGCCAUGUUUCUUCCAUAAGAUUCCCCUCUGUCUGCUGGAAUGAGCAGAGUGAGAUCAGACUGAGGCCUCAUUCAGGGGGCUCCCCUCUAAAACACAGUGCCCCGAGGCCGCCUUAGAGCCCCGUGCUCCUGGGACAUCAGGGUCUUGGGAAGGCAACAACACUCUUCCUGGCAGGGAUGGAGGUCCUCCUUAGCCCCUCCCCACUGUGGCCCCAGCCUGGAAAGACCCCAGUGCUCAAUGGACACGGAUCCCAAGGGGCAGACAUGACAUCCCCCUCUGUCUCUCUCCCAGGUGUCACUAACUAAGGGACCCUGGAGCCAGUGCCUUUCCUGCUCUUGCCCUCAUUUCUAACGACCCUCAAGUUGUACCUGUGACAGGGGCCCAGAGACCCACCUUCUCUGUAGAUUUCAAGCCCAUUCCUUCCCAGGAAGCCCCUCAGGCCUGGGGAAGCAUCUGGGGUGUGGAAGGAGUACUUGCCUUCACCUCCAGACCUGCCUCCGCACUCACUGGCUGGGGGGUCUGUGGCCAGUGGGCUCCCCAAGCCCCUCUCCUCCCCUGAAGCAGAGGUUAGGUUCACUUCCACCUCAGCUGAGACAAACAACUGAGUUCUGUGCAGUGUAAACUCUUGGUGAAAGAAUUUUGCCCAACUUUUUCUCUAUCGUGUAUGUAAAAUACCUUUUGCUUUUUGUUAUCUGUACAAGUUUCUUCUGGUUAAAGGUAAUAUAUCCUUUUUCAGUGUUUACUUUCAACAUUUCUGAACUCUUAUGUUGUAGAUGUAAAUGGGAUAGAGUGGAAUUUUGUCUUUUAUCCAGUCUCACAAUCUUUAACAAGAUUAUUCAGUCCCCUUUAACAUAGUUUCUGAUUUAUUUCUGGUUAAAUGUAACAUUUUUGUCAUAAUGGUAUUGUAGUGCUAUAUUUUUAAGUCCUUAUCUGGUAAAGAUACAUCCUAAAAUAUUUAUGAAUAAAACGAUGUGAUGUCUGGGAUCUGUUUUAAAAUACUCUAAGAAGAAAAAUGAGGGAGAGAAUUGAAACUCGAUUAUUAAGUGUCUAGGAUGAUGGGUACCUGAGGUCCAUUACACUGUUAUGUCUAUUUUUGUACAUUAUUUAAAUUUUUUAUAAUAAAAUAUUUUAUUUAAUCUGC
Molecule: non-coding RNA, 3787 nt
Organism: Delphinapterus leucas (beluga whale)
Lineage: Eukaryota; Metazoa; Chordata; Mammalia; Artiodactyla; Monodontidae
Source: RefSeq, a predicted model, not a curated record